CGUUUAAAUUCGGGAUUGAACCAAAAUCGAUGUAUUAAUAAUACAUUGCUUUACCGUUAAGCUAUAUAAAC
RNAcentral lists this transfer RNA (71 nucleotides) under Metschnikowia santaceciliae. RNAcentral's name for it is "tRNA-Asn". Lineage: Eukaryota; Fungi; Ascomycota; Pichiomycetes; Serinales; Metschnikowiaceae. The record is from RNAcentral.